GGGCGUUUAGCUCAGUUGGUUUAGAGCGCAGUCCUGAUAAGACUGAGGUCCUAGGUUCAAUUCCUAGAACGCCCACCA
RNAcentral lists this transfer RNA (78 nucleotides) under Candidatus Dojkabacteria bacterium. RNAcentral's name for it is "tRNA-Ile". It matches the Rfam family "tRNA". Rfam says of the family: Transfer RNA (tRNA) molecules are approximately 80 nucleotides in length. The record is from RNAcentral.